Molecule: ribosomal RNA, 464 nt
Filed under: uncultured bacterium
Lineage: Bacteria
Description: partial 16S ribosomal RNA
Rfam family: Bacterial small subunit ribosomal RNA
Source: RNAcentral
CUACGGGCGGCUGCAGUGGGGAAUAUUGCACAAUGGGCGCAAGCCUGAUGCAGCCAUGCCGCGUGUAUGAAGAAGGCCUUCGGGUUGUAAAGUACUUUCAGCGGGGAGGAAGGGAGUAAAGUUAAUACCUUUGCUCAUUGACGUUACCCGCAGAAGAAGCACCGGCUAAUUCCGUGCCAGCAGCCGCGGUAAUACGGAGGGUGCAAGCGUUAAUCGGAAUUACUGGGCGUAAAGCGCACGCAGGCGGUUUGUUAAGUCAGAUGUGAAAUCCCCGGGCUCAACCUGGGAACUGCAUCUGAUACGGGCAAGCUUGAGUCUCGUAGAGGUGGGUAGAAUUCCAGGUGUAGCGGUGAAAUGCGUAGAGAUCCGGAGGAAUACCGGUGGCGAAGGCGGCCCCCUGGACGAAGACUGCCGCUCAGGUGCGAAAGCGUGUGGAGCAAACAGGAUUAGAUACCCUCGUAGUC